Molecule: ribosomal RNA, 116 nt
Filed under: Sinocyclocheilus grahami
Lineage: Eukaryota; Metazoa; Chordata; Actinopteri; Cypriniformes; Cyprinidae
Source: RNAcentral
ACCAGCAGCCAUAUCACCCUGUAGCCCAAACUAGUUACCCACUGAAGCUAAGCAGGGCUGAGCCUGGUCAGUACCUGGAUGGGAGGCCUCCUGGGAAAACUAUGUUGCUGCUGGUA